AUAGGCUACGUGACAGUCACCUUCAUCCUUGUGAUGGGUCCACUGUAGAUAGACUGGACGUGGUGGGAAGACAACGCGACGUCACUCAGGAGAGAGACCCACCCUGGCGCCACGUGAUCCCUGCUGAUUUUCAGUGCUCCCCUAUGCCAUCCCAGGUGUGGCAAGAGAAUCCAAGCGCGCCUUCCCAGGCCAUUCACAUUUCGUUGGAUGUUUCCUGCUACGGAGCAAGCAAUAAUCCAAUGCCCCCAUGGUGGGAUGCCGCUCCUUGGCUACACAUCAGCGUCAUACAACCCUCACUUAAAUUGACUGCGGCACUGAAGCUGCAUUCCUGUCGGCAGAGUUAAUGACCCGGGGCAGGAGGGAGGAAGAUGCUUUUAGAGCCAGAUUUGCUGAAUUGUGAUCUUCUGCAAACUGAGAACAAGCUCUGCCUGGGUUUGCUCUUGCUCUUGGUCUAUCCACUGAUGUCAGCACGGUCACAAGAGAGGAAGUCAAGCCCAGUGAGCAUAAGUACCCUCAAGGCCGUGCAACUCCAGGGCAGUGCUGUAAGUUUGGGAUCUAAAAGCAGGCAGAGAAGCCCACUUAUGCUCUUUUGUCAUUCCCUCCACCCCCUCCCACAAAACACCCUGCCAACUGUUGUAGCCAGAGAGCAGAGAUCCCCGAUAGCUCACAUAGUGUCUGCCUCAGGGAUAGAACAACUUCAGGAAGUCAGCAUUUGGGCAGUUCACCACUGAUGUGACAGAGAGAGAGAAUAAUGCAUGCUCUUCCCGUGCAUCUUUGCAUCAGUGUGCAACACGUGCCAGUACGUGUGCAGCGCCAGCACAUGUGUAUGCCACUCAGCGUGUGUUUAUUUGCAUCUUGGCACACGUGUUGACCUUAAUACGUGUUUGUGACAACAUGUGUGGGCAUAUGUAUGAGCUGGCAUGUGUAUGUGUGUGCCAACACACACGGGGAAGGUCAAUGCAUGUGCAUCCAUUAACAAAUAAGAUUCAUAGAUGUUAGGGUCGGAAGGGACCUCAAUAGAUCAUCAAGUCCGACCCCCUGCAUAGGCAGGAAAGAGUGCUGGGUCUAAAUGACCCCAGCUAGAUACUUGUCUAACCUCCUCUUGAAGACUCCCAGGGUAGGGGAGAGCACCACCUCCCUUGGGAGCCCGUUCCAGACCUUGGCCACUCGAACUGGGAAGAAGUUCUUCCUAAAGAUGAUAUAAGUAAUGCCAAAUACUUGUGUGUCUGUGUGUCCACCCACUUGUGUGCAUGCCCAAGUUCCUGUGCGCCUUAUCACCUGUGUGUCAGUGUUCAUGUGCGUGUGUUUAUGCGUGCACACCUUGACCCUUGUGUGCGACAACACAUAGGUGAUGACAACGAGCCAUCAACUGCAGAGCCAUUUUGACUACAACUUUUUGGAAACGCUCCAGCCCAGGCCGACACCCCAAGAGGAACGUUUCAGCCCAGGUGACAAAGUUUAAACCAACUGAACAAAAACACUAUGAGCACAGAGCACCCCUGACACCCUUAGUAAGAGGUGUGGCUACCCUCCCUACAGCACGUGUACGUGCAUGCACACAAAGAGACACAGGCAUACCCACUAAUUCGGUUUGCUGGACAGCCUCAGGUGGCCCCACUGUUGAUAGAUCACAAGCUAAAGUCUGCAACGUUCAUUUUGUGCAACGCUGAUUGUUUUGCAUCGUCGGGAUCAAGCUGCUGCUGGAUGACACCAUCCUGCCAAGGACACACGGCACUUGGCAGCCUCUGCAUCUUAUCCUCUCUCCUACAACCCCCCUCGCUUUUCUCCCCCAGAUAAAAGGCUGUUUUAAUCCUGUGAGCAAUUAAAGAAUGGCUUCCCCUCC
This is a long non-coding RNA of Alligator mississippiensis (American alligator), 1843 nucleotides long. RefSeq lists it as uncharacterized. The record is from RefSeq and is a predicted model, not a curated record. The transcript has 2 exons. NCBI's taxonomy places the organism in Eukaryota, Metazoa, Chordata, Crocodylia, Alligatoridae.